AAAGAAAAGGGUCUAGACCCCACACACGCCACUCGGUAAGGAAUUGGGCCUAUAGCUCAGCUGGCUAGAGCACACGACUGAUAAUCGUGAGGUCAGUGGUUCGAGUCCACUUGGGCCCACCAAAUGGGGCUGUAGCUCAGUUGGGAGAGCACCUGCUUUGCAAGCAGGGGGUCACCGGUUCGAGACCGGUCAGCUCCACCACAGGGAUAGAUGGCCCGCAAAGAGCGCGGGCUGGUCGCUGGGGAAGCAGUAGAGAAGGGGUUUAGGGUUUAGUGUGUAGUGCUGAAUAACGCUUUAGGGAUGUAGGAAGUAAGGUGCUAUUGAUCACUGCCCACUCGGAAGAUUGAGUGCGUUAGUUUGUUCUUUGACAGUUGAGGAAGGGAAGGCCAUGUUUGUCAUCUUGCCGAUGGCAGACCUCCAGGUGGAUGCUUGGGGAUAUAU
RNAcentral lists this transfer RNA (441 nucleotides) under Acidithiobacillus ferrooxidans. RNAcentral describes it as "16S-23S ribosomal RNA intergenic spacer". The stretch from base 46 to 119 matches the Rfam family "tRNA". The record is from RNAcentral. Lineage: Bacteria; Pseudomonadati; Pseudomonadota; Acidithiobacillia; Acidithiobacillales; Acidithiobacillaceae.